Molecule: long non-coding RNA, 959 nt
Filed under: Sus scrofa (pig)
Lineage: Eukaryota; Metazoa; Chordata; Mammalia; Artiodactyla; Suidae
Description: lncRNA (ENSSSCG00065070229.1)
Source: RNAcentral
CCGCUGUCUCGGCUCAGGGCGGGGAGGAGGCGCUUCUGCCUCCCCCCACUGGCUGCUGUCGCCUGGCGGGGGAGGCACUGCUGGCUGGGCCGGGCGGGGGCGUAGCGGCAACCGCCUCCCCCCACUCUCCCAAGGAGGUGCGGGCACCGCGGUCCCUCCCAGUCCCUGGGAGCCUCUCUGCCGUCCCCCUUGGGCCUCUCAAGGAAGCUUCUCUGGCCGCUGUGGAUAUUGGUUUUUGUUGGACUUGGAAUUGGGAAUUGAGGGCGACUGGGGGACGCCGGGACAGAGGGCGAAGCAGGAGCUCACCGGUGAUGUAAUGCGGACCCGCACAGGGAGGGGAAGCAGCAGCCUCAGCAGUGGCGGCAGCGGUGGUUCUAGUCUUCGUGAAAAUCGUGAUCUCAUUUCUCUGUCCAAGGGCGAAGGCCGGUCGUCACCAAGACAUUUGCACUUUCUGUUUUUAUUAGCAAAGCCCAGCUGCUUUGGCAGCCCGGCAGCGUUCUUCUCAGGGUGGAAGCCGAGGGAUGGCAUUUUCCUUUCACCAUUUGGAAGAAAUUUUGGAAUGAACAAUAUACCUUUUCUCCCUCUGAAAUACUGCUUCCUGAGCUUUAAGGAGGCAUAGCCAGAUCUUGCUGAUUUCCUGACGCUGACCACACGGGAUGCAGGCUGGUCCUCACCCUAAGAAGAGAGAGCCUCCCCAACCCCAAGAAGGAAGGGAAAGAGGAUGGCUCUCUGGGUCCCUGUGAGAUGGGAAUGUUCCCACUUUCUCUCUGGAUUCUCUGCAAAAGACAGCAAGAUACCCCAGGGGAUAUUGGUGGAAAAGAUGAAUGCAUAGGAAUCAAGCUGAAGGAAGAGAAAGAAGGAAAGAAAAGAAACCAGUGAAGCACAGAUGUGCAGACCAGAGGAGGAAUUGUCCUAACUAUUGUUCCUAUGACAAUUGAAAAUAAAUGUAGUUUUUACUC